Long non-coding RNA from Peromyscus leucopus (white-footed mouse), 1595 nucleotides. RefSeq lists it as uncharacterized. Lineage: Eukaryota; Metazoa; Chordata; Mammalia; Rodentia; Cricetidae. The record is from RefSeq and is a predicted model, not a curated record. The transcript has 3 exons.
UCCACCUACCUCUGUUUCUAGAGUUCUGGGAUUAAAGCCCUGUACUACCAAGCAAGGCAGAUAGUGAUGUCUGAAUGAGAAGGGAAAACACUAUCAGAAAGACAUCUAUAUCACAUGGAGGCAAGUUCAGCAAAAGAGACGCAGCCUGGCAGAGGCACUGGAUUGCUUCCUGUGAUUUGUUUUGCUUCCAAGGGAGGGGACCACUUUGCUGCUGAAGCCCCUCGCUUGGACAUGGUGAACGGGUGGUGGUAGCGCGGGCGUUAUUGCUACAGACAGCACCAGUGAAGACCAAGGAGUUAUUUUGAAACUGUCAUUUUCAUCAGGACUUCCUGUCUGUCAGAUCACUUCCCUAGAGUUCCAUUGCCAAUAUCCUUACACUGCCUUCUCCUUGUGGAGAUUGGAAUUUGGGAGAGCUCAACAUCAAGCAUCUGACAUUCGGGGUUUUUAUUUUUAAGACUGUAAUUAUGAAGAAAUUUAGAUUUUGGGGAUUAUAGACAUUUGGGGAUUUUAAUCUCUCAGAGUUUGAGCAACUGGAGCAACAUCAUCUGAGGUUGAAUCUUUUGGGAACAGGACCAUGCUUGCCACAAAGGAGAGAGCCAUCUUUUUGAAGCAGCUUAGUGAUGCUCUCUCAGCAAGACAGUCCUCAUUAGAUGGCAGGAAAUCUGAUUAAAGUCUCAGCACCAAACUGUAACUAUUAAAGAGAGGGUGGGUCAACAAGACACAUGUGGGUAGAGGGGUAGCAGCUAAACCUGGCAGCCUGAGUCAAAUCACAGACCAAGGUGAUGGGGGAUAUUCGAUCACACUGUAAACCUCAAGUCUGCAUUUGCAUUAAUUAAAUAAAAUUUACCUUGGGUCAAGAGGCUGCAUUGGAAACUAGUUGACAGAAAGUAAUCAUAGAGCUUCAGAGGGCAUCCAGGAGAGAUAGAGAGGCACAGGAAGUGGUAGGGUUGGAUGUGGAGUGACACAGCUUUCUGUGGUUUGGCAGAGCGGAAGCACGGGUCUUCCGAUGCCAGCAAGAGAGGUUCAGGUAGUUGCUGCUCAGCCUCUCUGAGCUCGCAGGUUUUCACCCCAGCCUUUGAAUCUCACGACUCUCAUAAUUCCAACGAUAGAGAUUUAGUGAAAGCCACCUUCAGCAGCAGGGGCAGGGCUGCUGCUUGUGGGAACAGAAUUCUCACCAGGCUGCUGGCGGAAUGGCCAGGCCACCGCUAGAUCAGCAGACUUGUACAGUGGACUCACAGUUGCUGAGACAGCAGUGGAAUAAGGCACAGCCACUGUGCCGAAGUGAAACACCACCAGUGAUGGAAUGGGGGACCUGACUCUAGCAAGUUAUCCUCUGAGCUCUGUGAACACCAUAGUGAGUGCAUGCACUCUGGUGAACACGUGUACACACACACACACACACACACACACACACACACACACACACACACAAAUACACAAACAUAUGAAAUGCAUGUAAAAGGUUUAGGAAAACCUCCUACUAUGGACUGAAACCUGCAUCAAAGCAUAUUAUCAAACUAUUUUCCGUACUCAAAGCCUGAGUUUAAAAUUUUAUUGAAUCCACUGUAGUCAGGUUUAGAAAAAUAACUAGAAAA